GCGAAACGACUGCUCAAAUUCGCAAUAACGGAAAAUACUGUGAAUAUCAUAAAGACAAAUGUCACACGACCAACGAAUGUCGAGCUUUAGCCAAAGUCCUACUAGAACAAAAACAACUAAGUAAAUCUAAUAAACAAAGCAAACACGUCUAAAACCAUAUUCAUGAUCACAACAUACACAAACAUCAAAAGGUCUUUAGAAGUAUUGACAAUAGACCAACCAGCAAAAAGACCCAAAUCAAAGCAAGAACCAAUAAGCUUUUCAACCGAAGACCUUAAAGGAAUAGAAACCCCACACCAAGAUCCUUUAGUAAUAUCAGCAAUCCUAAACGAUUACAUGGUUCACAGAAUAUUAGUAGAUACCGGAGCUUCAAUUGAUAUUCUAUAUUGGGACACAUUCGAAAAUAUGAAUAUAAAAGAAAAAGACCUCACAGUAUGCCACUGCCCAAUAAAAGGAUCCAGACAAGUAAAAGUUCUGGUAGUCGGAAAUAUCCUAUAUAUUAUCAGUAACAUUAGGAGAAGACAAAUUUAUCACAACAAAAAACGUCACAUUCACAAUAGUCUGGUUCACUUUAGCCUAUAACGCCAUUUUAGGAAGAACUAGCCUACAUGAAUUUGGAAUAGUAACAUCCUCAUUUCACCAAUGUAUGAAAUUCCAAACAAACGAAGGAAUAUGUUGCAUCAGAGGCUCCCAAUCCUUAGCCAAAACAUGCAAUAUAUCGGCAAUUCAAUGCCAAGAUAAUGCAGUCCUUGCCAGAAAAAGAAGAACACUGGAAGUAUUACAAAAUUCAACACCAAAAUAUCUAAAUUUACCUAAAAAACCU
Molecule: long non-coding RNA, 823 nt
Filed under: Zostera marina
Lineage: Eukaryota; Viridiplantae; Streptophyta; Magnoliopsida; Alismatales; Zosteraceae
Description: long non-coding RNA (ZMAR_LNC003301)
Source: RNAcentral